This 304-nucleotide unclassified non-coding RNA is filed under the name fungal sp. RNAcentral's name for it is "partial internal transcribed spacer region". The stretch from base 1 to 46 matches the Rfam family "Eukaryotic small subunit ribosomal RNA", at positions 1786 to 1831 of the family's 1831-position model. The record is from RNAcentral. Lineage: Eukaryota; Fungi.
AAGUCGUAACAAGGUAACCGUAGGUGAACCUGCGGUUGGAUCAUUAUUGAUUUAACUUUGAUUUGAAGGUAGAGACUUUCCAAACUUUGAUUUGAUAAGUGAAUCUUUGGGUUUAUUUGUUAAAGUUAAGGUUAGGUUAGACUCCUUUCAAGUUAAAAUUAACACCGUGUGAACUGUAUUGUAUUCAAAUCAUAAGUAUUAAUUUACUAUUGAUUUGAACUUAACAAACCCCUUUAACAUUUGCCUUAGAAAUUUUUGUAAAAAGAAAUUAAAACAACUUUUGACAACGGAUCUCUAGGCUCUC